This 253-nucleotide ribosomal RNA is filed under the name uncultured bacterium. RNAcentral describes it as "partial 16S ribosomal RNA". It matches the Rfam family "Bacterial small subunit ribosomal RNA", at positions 524 to 776 of the family's 1533-position model. The record is from RNAcentral.
UACGAAGGGUGCAAACGUUGCUCGGAAUCAUUGGGCGUAAAGCGCACGUAGGCGGCUUUGCAAGUCGGAUGUGAAAUCCCGUGGCUCAACCAUGGACGUGCAUUCGAAACUGCAAAGCUUGAGUAUGGAAGAGGGUCGCGGAAUUCCCGGUGUAGAGGUGAAAUUCGUAGAUAUUCGCAAGAACACCAGUGGCGAAGGCGGCUCACUGGCCCGUAACUGACGCUGAGGCACGAAAGCGUGGGGAGCAAACAGG